Melospiza melodia melodia is the source of this 373-nucleotide long non-coding RNA. RefSeq lists it as uncharacterized. The record is from RefSeq and is a predicted model, not a curated record. The transcript has 3 exons. Lineage: Eukaryota; Metazoa; Chordata; Aves; Passeriformes; Passerellidae.
AUCCUCGCCUCUGGAGGGGCAGGCAGAGGCCAGCCCUGCCCUGGCACCCAGCCUGGGCUCCAGCAAAUCCACGGAGAUUUUCAGCAGCCUCCUCCCAGCUCUCUGAGACCCACUGGGACCUUCUCUGCAUUUAGGGAGGAGGGGAUGGCACAAUUCCUGCGUCCUGCUGGGCAGUGCUGCUCACGUGGAGCUGGAGCUGCUCCGCACUGAGAUGAUUUCCUGAGCCGGAGCCUCCCCUGGGAGCUGGAGUGGAUCCAGGAGAGGGUUAUUCCGGUACCACAUUCAAGAACCAUGAGUUGGGUAUUUCUGGUGCUGCCUUUCACUGACCUGAGGAUGGAACAAAGAUUAGGAAUUUUCAUCAAAAUUCACGUUC